UCCUGGUUAGUUCAGUUGGUAGAGCGCUCCACUCGAAAGGAGAAGGUUCUGGUUCGAUACCAAGACCAGGCG
Non-coding RNA from Ixodes scapularis (black-legged tick), 72 nucleotides. Lineage: Eukaryota; Metazoa; Arthropoda; Arachnida; Ixodida; Ixodidae. The record is from Rfam.